Molecule: ribosomal RNA, 1932 nt
Filed under: Salmonella enterica
Lineage: Bacteria; Pseudomonadati; Pseudomonadota; Gammaproteobacteria; Enterobacterales; Enterobacteriaceae
Also listed under: 1 other name
Description: partial 23S ribosomal RNA
Rfam family: Bacterial large subunit ribosomal RNA
Source: RNAcentral
CAGACCGCCAGCUAAGGUCCCAAAGUCAUGGUUAAGUGGGAAACGAUGUGGGAAGGCCCAGACAGCCAGGAUGUUGGCUUAGAAGCAGCCAUCAUUUAAAGAAAGCGUAAUAGCUCACUGGUCGAGUCGGCCUGCGCGGAAGAUGUAACGGGGCUAAACCAUGCACCGAAGCUGCGGCAGCGACGCUGAUGCGUUGUUGGGUAGGGGAGCGUUCUGUAAGCCUGUGAAGGUGGCCUGUGAGGGUUGCUGGAGGUAUCAGAAGUGCGAAUGCUGACAUAAGUAACGAUAAAGCGGGUGAAAAGCCCGCUCGCCGGAAGACCAAGGGUUCCUGUCCAACGUUAAUCGGGGCAGGGUGAGUCGACCCCUAAGGCGAGGCCGAAAGGCGUAGUCGAUGGGAAACGGGUUAAUAUUCCCGUACUUGGUGUUACUGCGAAGGGGGGACGGAGAAGGCUAUGUUGGCCGGGCGACGGUUGUCCCGGUUUAAGCGUGUAGGUGUGUGUUCCAGGUAAAUCCGGUUCACUUUAACACUGAGGCGUGAUGACGAGGCACUACGGUGCUGAAGCAACAAAUGCCCUGCUUCCAGGAAAAGCCUCUAAGCAUCAGGUAACAUCAAAUCGUACCCCAAACCGACACAGGUGGUCAGGUAGAGAAUACCAAGGCGCUUGAGAGAACUCGGGUGAAGGAACUAGGCAAAAUGGUGCCGUAACUUCGGGAGAAGGCACGCUGACACGUAGGUGAAGUGAUUUACUCAUGGAGCUGAAGUCAGUCGAAGAUACCAGCUGGCUGCAACUGUUUAUUAAAAACACAGCACUGUGCAAACACGAAAGUGGACGUAUACGGUGUGACGCCUGCCCGGUGCCGGAAGGUUAAUUGAUGGGGUCAGCGCAAGCGAAGCUCCUGAUCGAAGCCCCGGUAAACGGCGGCCGUAACUAUAACGGUCCUAAGGUAGCGAAAUUCCUUGUCGGGUAAGUUCCGACCUGCACGAAUGGCGUAAUGAUGGCCAGGCUGUCUCCACCCGAGACUCAGUGAAAUUGAACUCGCUGUGAAGAUGCAGUGUACCCGCGGCAAGACGGAAAGACCCCGUGAACCUUUACUAUAGCUUGACACUGAACAUUGAGCCUUGAUGUGUAGGAUAGGUGGGAGGCUUUGAAGCGUGGACGCCAGUCUGCAUGGAGCCGGCCUUGAAAUACCACCCUUUAAUGUUUGAUGUUCUAACGUGGACCCGUGAUCCGGGUUGCGGACAGUGUCUGGUGGGUAGUUUGACUGGGGCGGUCUCCUCCUAAAGAGUAACGGAGGAGCACGAAGGUUGGCUAAUCCUGGUCGGACAUCAGGAGGUUAGUGCAAUGGCAUAAGCCAGCUUGACUGCGAGCGUGACGGCGCGAGCAGGUGCGAAAGCAGGUCAUAGUGAUCCGGUGGUUCUGAAUGGAAGGGCCAUCGCUCAACGGAUAAAAGGUACUCCGGGGAUAACAGGCUGAUACCGCCCAAGAGUUCAUAUCGACGGCGGUGUUUGGCACCUCGAUGUCGGCUCAUCACAUCCUGGGGCUGAAGUAGGUCCCAAGGGUAUGGCUGUUCGCCAUUUAAAGUGGUACGCGAGCUGGGUUUAGAACGUCGUGAGACAGUUCGGUCCCUAUCUGCCGUGGGCGCUGGAGAACUGAGGGGGGCUGCUCCUAGUACGAGAGGACCGGAGUGGACGCAUCACUGGUGUUCGGGUUGUCAUGCCAAUGGCACUGCCCGGUAGCUAAAUGCGGAAGAGAUAAGUGCUGAAAGCAUCUAAGCACGAAACUUGCCCCGAGAUGAGUUCUCCCUGAGACUUAGAGUCUCCUGAAGGAACGUUGAAGACGACGACGUUGAUAGGCCGGGUGUGUAAGCGCAGCGAUGCGUUGAGCUAACCGGUACUAAUGAACCGUGAGGCUUAACCUUACAACGCCGAAG